UACGUAGGGUGCGAGCGUUAAUCGGAAUUACUGGGCGUAAAGCGUGCGCAGGCGGUCGUGCAAGUCGCGUGUGAAAGCCCCCGGCUCAACUGGGGAGGGUCACGCGAUACUGUUCGACUCGAAGGCAGGAGAGGGAAGCGGAAUUCCCGGUGUAGUGGUGAAAUGCGUAGAUAUCGGGAGGAACACCAGUGGCGAAGGCGGCUUCCUGGCCUGUUCUUGACGCUGAGGCGCGAAAGCUAGGGUAGCAAACGGG
Molecule: ribosomal RNA, 253 nt
Filed under: uncultured bacterium
Lineage: Bacteria
Description: partial 16S ribosomal RNA
Rfam family: Bacterial small subunit ribosomal RNA
Source: RNAcentral